RNAcentral lists this ribosomal RNA (253 nucleotides) under uncultured bacterium. RNAcentral describes it as "partial 16S ribosomal RNA". It matches the Rfam family "Bacterial small subunit ribosomal RNA", at positions 524 to 776 of the family's 1533-position model. The record is from RNAcentral.
GACGAGGGGUCCUAGCGUUGUUCGGAAUCACUGGGCGUAAAGCGCAUGUAGGCGGCUUUGUAAGUCAGAUGUGAAAUCCCAUGGCUCAACCAUGGAACUGCAUUUGAAACUGCAAAGCUUGAGUACGAUAGAGGAUGGUAGAAUUCCUGGUGUAGUGGUGAAAUACGUAGAUAUCAGGAGGAACACCGGUGGCGAAGGCGGCCAUCUGGAUCGAUACUGACGCUGAGAUGCGAAAGCGUGGGGAGCAAACAGG